CCUUCGGGUGAGCGGCGGACGGGUUAGUAACGCGUGGGAACAUACCCUUUUCUACGGAAUAGCCUCGGGAAACUGAGAGUAAUACCGUAUAAGCCCUUCGGGGGAAAGAUUUAUCGGGAAAGGAUUGGCCCGCGUUAGAUUAGAUAGUUGGUGGGGUAAUGGCCUACCAAGUCUACGAUCUAUAGCUGGUUUUAGAGGAUGAUCAGCAACACUGGGACUGAGACACGGCCCAGACUCCUACGGGAGGCAGCAGUGGGGAAUCUUAGACAAUGGGCGCAAGCCUGAUCUAGCCAUGCCGCGUGUGUGAUGAAGGUCUUAGGAUCGUAAAGCACUUUCGCCAGGGAUGAUAAUGACAGUACCUGGUAAAGAAACCCCGGCUAACUCCGUGCCAGCAGCCGCGGUAAUACGGAGGGGGUUAGCGUUGUUCGGAAUUACUGGGCGUAAAGCGUACGUAGGCGGAUUGGAAAGUUGGGGGUGAAAUCCCAGGGCUCAACCCUGGAACUGCCUCCAAAACUAUCAGUCUAGAGUUCGAGAGAGGUGAGUGGAAUUCCAAGUGUAGAGGUGAAAUUCGUAGAUAUUUGGAGGAACACCAGUGGCGAAGGCGGCUCACUGGCUCGAUACUGACGCUGAGGUACGAAAGUGUGGGGAGCAAACAGGAUUAGAUACCCUGGUAGUCCACACCGUAAACGAUGAAUGCCAGUCGUCGGGCAGUAUACUGUU
This 720-nucleotide ribosomal RNA is filed under the name alpha proteobacterium GM74. RNAcentral's name for it is "bacterial SSU rRNA". It matches the Rfam family "Bacterial small subunit ribosomal RNA", at positions 84 to 840 of the family's 1533-position model. Lineage: Bacteria; Pseudomonadati; Pseudomonadota; Alphaproteobacteria. The record is from RNAcentral.